Molecule: ribosomal RNA, 406 nt
Filed under: uncultured bacterium
Lineage: Bacteria
Description: bacterial SSU rRNA
Rfam family: Archaeal small subunit ribosomal RNA
Source: RNAcentral
GCGAGAAACCUUAGCAAUGUGCGAAAGCACGACUAGGUUAAUCCGAGUGGUUCCUGCUAAAGGAACCUUUUGUCAGUCGUAAAACCACAGAUGAAUAAGGGGUGGGCAAGUCUGGUGUCAGCCGCCGCGGUAAUACCAGCACCUCGAGUGGUCAGGAGGUUUAUUGGGCCUAAAGCAUCCGUAGCCGGCUUUGCAAGUCUCCGGUUAAAUCCAACUGCUCAACAGAUGGGCUGCCGGAGAUACUACAAAGCUAGGGAGCGGGAGAGGUAGACGGUAUUCUGUGGGUAGGGGUAAAAUCCACUGAUCCAUAGAGGACCACCAGUGGCGAAGGCGGUCUACCAGAACGCGUUCGACGGUGAGGGAUGAAAGCUGGGGGAGCAAACCGGAUUAGAUACCCCCGUAGUCC